UGACCUUCCACCAUGGUUCUGUAAUAGAGUUAGCCAACCAUGGACUGAAACCGUGAACCAAUAUAAAUGUUUCCUUCUCUAAGUUGUUGUUUAGGUAUUUGGGCCACAGUGAUAAGAAAUUGAAAAACACAGUACCACUAUUAAUACAUGGCAGUCCAGGACUACGGAAUCCUUCUCUGAUUCCCAAAACAAAGGUGACCUCAGACAGCUUCCCUCUCAUGGGUGUUCUCUCCUGCUCAAGAAAAAUCUUACCGAUUACAUUCAUUUUGACAAAACUUAGACAUGUUUCUUCCUGGUUAUAGGCCCCUGCCCUCCAUUUUUCUUGUACUAUUUACUUUAGAAAACACAAUUGUAAAUUAUUUCUUAGCCUCUGAGAUAUAAAUCUUCUCUCAAGUCUCUUACCAGUUGUAAAAUAUUUUACAACCCCAAAGGGUCUUUGCCAAGGAUCUGAGAGCCAUUUCUUUGAAAUGCAACAGCAUCUCUUCCUCCCAGUCUCUGUCAGAGUGUAGGAACUUAACUUCAAUAAGUGCCAAUUAGCAAAUGAGAGGCCAAGCUCUCCUCUAAUGCCCUCUAGAACUUUCCCACCAGCUCAUCCCUGGGCUUAGAAACUUCCUUCCUUUCAUUUCAGUUUAAGGGUUGAGUAAAAUCUCUGUACCCCAUUGUGACAGUCUAGAAUAAAGUUUUCCUUCCCUGUUUAACUCUGGUGCAGUUUACCAUUGACACUUCCUUUCUCUAUUAGUGAUUUUGUCAAGCAGGUCAUCCAGCA
RNAcentral lists this long non-coding RNA (766 nucleotides) under Marmota monax (woodchuck). Lineage: Eukaryota; Metazoa; Chordata; Mammalia; Rodentia; Sciuridae. The record is from RNAcentral.